This 252-nucleotide ribosomal RNA is filed under the name uncultured bacterium. RNAcentral's name for it is "partial 16S ribosomal RNA". It matches the Rfam family "Bacterial small subunit ribosomal RNA", at positions 524 to 776 of the family's 1533-position model. The record is from RNAcentral.
UACGGAGGGUGCAAGCGUUGUCCGGAUUUAUUGGGUUUAAAGGGUGCGUAGGCGGCCAUUUAAGUCUGGGGUGAAAGCCCGUUGCUCAACAACGGAACUGCCCUGGAAACUGGAUGGCUUGAGUACAGACGAGGGUGGCGGAAUGGAUGCUGUAGCGGUGAAAUGCAUAGAUAGCAUCCAGAACCCCGAUUGCGAAGCAGCUGCCUAGACUGUAACUGACGCUGAGGCACGAAAGCGUGGGGAGCGAACAGG